AAACAUUAUAAAACUCUUUCAUGUAAUUGUGAAUGUAGAGGAAAUAUUUUAGGCAAAUAUAUUAUAAACUGGGAUGUAAGGAAAGUAAGUUUGUAAACCUCAGGUUUACCUGUAAUGUGACAAUUACAGUGAAAUGUAACUAAGUGAAUAAAAUCUAGUAACAACACCGAGUGCUAAUAAGGAUUUGAGGGCCUGAAUUGUUCAUACACUGCAAGUGGCAUAUAAAGUACCAGACACUCUAGUAAAGAAUGUGGUGGUUUCUUAAAAAAAAAAAAUCUGAAUUUCUAUUUCCCACAGGACACAAUAGUCACACGUUUGGUUUAGACAGAAUUGUAUGUACACAAACAUCUGUACAUAAAUUAUACAGCAUGUGUAUGCACACUAGCCCAAACUUGAAAACAACUCUCAAGUCUUCAAUGGGAGAAUGGAUAAACAAACAGCCAGGAAUGUCACCUUACUGAGCAAGGAAAAGGAGUUGUCCACUCAUACAAUAUCCUAUAUUGAUUGGAAGGGUAUUGUGCUGAGUGAAAAGAGCCAACAGAAUAAGCCACAUGUUGAGUAUUUUUAUUUCUGAGACACUCUUGAAUUAAUACAAUAAUGGAAAUGGAUCACAGAUUAGUGACUACCAGGAGCAAAACCAGAGUGGCAGCUAGAGGUAAAGGUGGCUUCGAAAGGGCAGCCCUACCAUGGACCCCUACCACGGUGGAACUUUGAAAGACAGGCAGAGUUACUGCUGAUGGUGCGAUGGUGCAACUAUGGUUUCUCAGUAGCUCCGUGGGGAUAACUGGAAACAGGUUUACGGAAGGUGUCUCUAAAGUUCAAUUUAUAAAAAUAACACAAGCCAAAACCUCAAAAUAUCCAUCACCCUUUGAGGUAGAAUACUCAGUGAGUGAUUGUAGAAUAAUUAACAAAAAUAAUUUAACUGACUAGAGAAGACACGCUUAGGGAUGAAUUCAUAUGAAAAGUGUAUGGUCAGCAGUACUUAGAGACAUACUAAGACAUUUGUUUGAAUUCUUAAACAGCACCUGUAGUGCCUUAUAGAGCUGAAUAGAUGUGGUAAGUAUUCAUUUACAAAGUUAUUACCACAUAUUUCAACUAAACGCAAGAUAAAUGUGUCUUGACAGUUGUGUACGCCAGUUGUACAUAUUUUCCAAAUUCCUGUGAGAGUCAUGCAUUACAGUCAGAAAUAAAUGAGCACUUCAUGUAACCAUCCAAGUUAGUAUGCUUAGAGAAAACAUCUACUUUAAAAAUGUUCCCCCUUUUAUUGGUACCAUAACAUUUAUGUUAGGGAAACAAGUGAGGAAUGAAGUGAUUUCAUUUGAAAACUAAAUGUAUUGAAAAGCCUUUUACUUUUUUCUAUUGAAUAUUAGACAGAAAGAGGAUAGAUAUAUUUUGUAUUGGACCUAUUUAUACCAUGAGUUUUCAUUUAAUGAAUGAGUUUCACAAAUAAAUGGCUGGUAUAAUACAUUUUCCCUGUGAUUACAAAAUGGAAGGAAAUCAGGCUAAACAGCAUACUAUCCAGAGUAGUGAUCUAGUCGUUUCUUUGUACCCUGGAAUACAGUUGUAUAAACCUCAUGUCGGUCUCUGCAGAACUGACUGUACAAGCACAUUUUCUCAAGGUUUCUCCAUUAGUGGACUGUGCUUCUGGCCUUGUAGUUCCUUUAGGUGCCUAUAGGUUCUGCUUGAACUGGCUCAGAUGAUCAGUUGGUUAUUUGGGAGUCUGCCAUUCUAGAAUCACAGGGUGGUAAUAAGUACAGAACAAGUGCUUACUUAAGGAAGACCCUUGUUUCAUCUGUUUAUGUCUGCUUGAUUGUAUACAUCAUGAAGAAAACAACCUGAAAUUUCUUACCUCUGUGCAUAAUUCAGAACCCUCAGAAAUAUUUUUCUGUUGAAAGGAUGUCUUGACAUUUCUGUGUCCCUGUGGACUUAAGAAACAUCUUUGAGCGCUGCCAUGGUUAAGCAGGAACUUAAAGAAGGGGGGCCCGGUGUAGAGUUGAGAUGCUCAAGCUUGUAGAGGCUACAGAUCUAUUGUCUGUAGGCUUAUGUAACAGGCUCACAUCUCAAAGACAUUUCCAUUGUCGACACUGAGCUCACAUUCCAAAGCAGGCUGUGUGUGAGGGAGGCCAAUCCUCAAACCUUAGCAUGAGUUGCCUUUUAUGAGAGUGACAAAGCCCAUACCAUAGGAAGCCAGAAAGAUGAAACAGGUCAAAUACCACGGAAAGGUAUUUGCUAUUCGAGAAGGCCUAGUUCCAAGUAUUCUGUUCUGAUAUCUCCAUCCUAUCAUCCAGUUUGACCUGCUGUGUUUGAGAUUUUGUUUAAAUAUAGCCAUUAUCCUUAAGGAAAAAAAAUUAAGAAAUAGGAGUUGUAGCUAGGCCUAUAGCAUUAUCUACCCUAUUCUGAAAUAGAAAAUUCAUUACCAACGUUCUAUUUUUUCUUUCUUUCCUGUUACAUGCUGUUAUUAUAGAGAACAAUGAAAAGAUUGUAUAUGAAAAGGUUUUUUGAAACUUACUCCCAAAUUUACUUAUGAGGAAUAAAUAGGAGUUUUCAUCUUCAUUUUCUGUUUGUAGAUGGUCUUUAGCCGUAGCUUUAGUUAAUCUCUAAAUUAACACGAAUAAGUAUUCAUUCUUUUUUUAUUUUCUUUAGGUAUGUUAUAUGGUAGAUAAAUCUACAUGAAUAUAUUAAAACAGUUUAAGUACAAAUCUUGGGAUAUACCUAAGUGCAGAAAUCAAAAUUAAAUGGUAAAAGGAAAGUUUUACUUUCCUAUCCUAAUAUGCUACACUCGCCUUUUUCUGAAGGAUUAGGUUUAUUUUUUUUAUAAGAUUACCAUCCUAAUAAGCGAGCAUUGGACAGGUGAAUGUUGCCAUGGAGACCUUUGGCAGCCGCUGAAGGGUCUGCUGAGCCACCCAUGUUCUCUGGCCACGUGUGAGGGGACACAGGGAGUCGUUUGUGCAGAAAUAAACGUGGAAGAUUCUCGAUUGCUCGCAAGCCUCUAGAGUAUCCAUUGUUUACAGAAUUUAAAAAAUUCUCUUUGUUGUAGCCAUCUGUGUGUAUGGGUCUUCGCAUAGGCAAACCUUUCUUUGGGGAAUGUAGUUCUUUAGAAAUGUCUAGUUCUUUUUGGAGUGUAUUUCUGGAUGACGCAUUUCUUUGAGGUAUUGUUCGGCUCGUGAAUGUUUCUUGUCCUAUCAGUAGGUUUGGUCAGUUUACAUUCAGAGAAUGUCAUUCAGCUAAGAAGUCAUACAGAGUAAUGAUGACACAGAGCUUGGCUUUUUGAAUUAAUAAAAUAUGUUACUAUUAGAGGGAGAAAUGAGGAAUGAGAGAGCCAAUCCAUGUGUAUGGUUUGGAGCACAUCACAAACUCUGGAAUAUACAGUUUUUGAAAGCACAGCACAGGUUUUUCUGAGGUUAUUUUCUGUUCAUUUUUAGUAUUUCAAAGAAAAUUGGAUCUGUGUUUGCAUUCUAUGUAUGCAUAAUUCAUCAGAAUACUGCUCUGAAUG
This is a long non-coding RNA of Perognathus longimembris pacificus (Pacific pocket mouse), 3493 nucleotides long. RefSeq lists it as uncharacterized. The record is from RefSeq and is a predicted model, not a curated record. The transcript is spliced from 2 exons. NCBI's taxonomy places the organism in Eukaryota, Metazoa, Chordata, Mammalia, Rodentia, Heteromyidae.